This is a long non-coding RNA of Oryzias melastigma (Indian medaka), 1311 nucleotides long. RefSeq lists it as uncharacterized. The transcript has 3 exons. The record is from RefSeq and is a predicted model, not a curated record. NCBI's taxonomy places the organism in Eukaryota, Metazoa, Chordata, Actinopteri, Beloniformes, Adrianichthyidae.
CUGGAUUAAGGAGACAAGAUCACACUCGCCAGACGCUCAAAGUAUUGAAUUAACUGAUCUUUCACAAACAGUCAAGUAUUUAUAUCUUUUUAAAGCUUUUUUUAAGCUUACUUAUUGAAAUCAUUUGUAUUUACAGCAAAUCCAACUUAUUUAAAGAUGAACUCCAUCCAUGAAGGAAGAUCAGCGGGAGAUUUUCCGAUAUGGGCCAAGCUGCAGACAAACAUGGUGGUUUGAGGUGUCAUGGCAGACUGAGGUGUCAUGGCCGAUGGACGUCUACCUUCUGACCCCUUGACCCCUUACCAGUAGGCAGCGGUAAUGCACCUUUUAGUUGGUUGCCAGCGCCGUAAAACCAGAAGAAGACGGGCUAAUUUGAAGACAGAUGGCGGAAAAAAUAAAAAUGCAUGUAUCAAAUCUAAAGAAGGAUGGAUGCUUGGAGCAAAGGCCUUUGGCGCUUGGGUUUGGGUGUCCACUUUGCCCCUGUUUCAAGGCUUUAAGUGAAGAAGUGAUCCAAAGGGACUUGGGAAACCACAUUGUAAAUGCAGUGCAUUUCCAGGGUAUGUUGAUAUCAAAGAUCAUUUCUGAUGUAGUUACUAAUAAUUGCAAUUUUCAAUUAAUACUUCUGUUAUUUCGUGUGCAAAGGCUCCAAUGUUUUUAUGGCUGGAAUUUGUUUCCAUUCUUUUUUUUUCUUUUUUUCUAUCCAAAUUGUUAACAGACCUGGCCAAAGGGAAAGUGUGUUCCAACAGAAUGUACCUGUGGCAGAACCCACUGUCCUCAUGACCACUGAAACAGCACUUGAAGCUGAGGACACUUAACCUAAGUGACCAGCGGGUAUUUUCAAAUCUCAUUAGUUGUGUGCGUGUUCAUACAUUAUUUGUUCUGAUAUUUGCCUAUCUCGUCAGAUUUUUCAGCUACUGAGGGCCAUUGAAGAUUCCACAGGAGUCGGGUCCUUAAUCCGGAAAAGGGAGAUCCAGCACCUGGAUUAUGUUUUCGAUGUUAUGCUCCCAGAAAUCCUAAUCAGCAUCCUAAAAAACCAGGAAAGACGAGGCUGCAGGAGGAGAUUCUGCUGGCUCGGGGCAGCAUUUUUUAAUUCAUUAACUCAGUUGUUGUUGUUCUGUUUUUACGAGUUCUGUUUUUAGUUUUACUUGUUUGUUAUAACUGUUGAGUUGUUAAUUUACCUUCUUUGAUUCAGUUUACAUUGUUUUAUACUUAACAUACAAAUAAAGUUUAUUUAAAAUGUGUGCUCGUCUCAAGUUCUUCAUGUUGUUUGUAUGAUGGAGUCAUGAGGAAAACUUGAUCUAUAAAGGUAGGUUG